CACGUAGGAGGCGAGCGUUGUCCGGAAUCAUUGGGCGUAAAGAGCGCGCAGGCGGCCCGGCAAGUCGGGUGUGAAAUCCCGGGGCUCAACCCCGGGACUGCAUUCGAUACUGUCGGGCUAGAGGUAGGUAGGGGAGAUCGGAAUUCCUGGUGUAGCGGUGAAAUGCGCAGAUAUCAGGAGGAGCACCGGUGGCGAAGGCGGAUCUCUGGGCCUUACCUGACGCUGAGACGCGAAAGCGUGGGGAGCAAACAGG
This 253-nucleotide ribosomal RNA is filed under the name uncultured bacterium. RNAcentral describes it as "partial 16S ribosomal RNA". It matches the Rfam family "Bacterial small subunit ribosomal RNA", at positions 524 to 776 of the family's 1533-position model. The record is from RNAcentral.